Molecule: non-coding RNA, 181 nt
Filed under: Gammaproteobacteria bacterium
Lineage: Bacteria; Pseudomonadati; Pseudomonadota; Gammaproteobacteria
Description: 6S RNA
Rfam family: 6S / SsrS RNA
About the family: E. coli 6S RNA was the first non coding RNA to be sequenced, but its function was unknown until recently. It consists of 184 nucleotides that fold into an extended hairpin structure with a large single-stranded internal bulge.
Source: RNAcentral
UAACUUCUGGGGUGUUUGUCAGUGUUCUGAGUUCCCGAGCCAAUAUACACACCCAGGGUGUCAAUUCCUUUGCUAUUGUGCAAGCCUGGCAUGUACCAGGAAGCCUGCGGUAAUAAUUGCCACCCGCCUUGAACCGUAUGGUUCGAGGACCAAAUGUUCACAGCGGCACCUUGGAAGUUUA